This 162-nucleotide small nuclear RNA is filed under the name Castor canadensis (American beaver). RNAcentral describes it as "U1 spliceosomal RNA (ENSCCNG00000013638.1)". It matches the Rfam family "U1 spliceosomal RNA". From Rfam's summary of the family: U1 is a small nuclear RNA (snRNA) component of the spliceosome (involved in pre-mRNA splicing). Its 5' end forms complementary base pairs with the 5' splice junction, thus defining the 5' donor site of an intron. Lineage: Eukaryota; Metazoa; Chordata; Mammalia; Rodentia; Castoridae. The record is from RNAcentral.
AUACUUACCUAGCAGGGGAGAGUCCAUGAUCACAAAAGUGGUUUUCCCAGGGCGAGGCUUAUCCAUUGCACUCUGGAUGUGCUGACCCCUGCAAUUUCCCCAAAUUUGGGAAACUUGACUGCAUAAUUUGUGGUAGUGGGGACUAUGUUUGCGCUCUCCCCU